Apis florea (little honeybee) is the source of this 454-nucleotide long non-coding RNA. The record is from RefSeq and is a predicted model, not a curated record. NCBI's taxonomy places the organism in Eukaryota, Metazoa, Arthropoda, Insecta, Hymenoptera, Apidae.
AUCGAGAAACGAAGAAAGAAAAAGCACAAUAUUUACUUCAGUCACCAACGAUGCUUGACUCACUCGGUUUUGUCGCUGUUUCACUGUAUCUCCGCGCGGAUGUCUCUCGAAUGUCACGGUCAAUGUCUUGCGGCGGCGUGACACCUGCAAUGGAAGCCCUCGCGGCGAUACUCCGAACUAAUCACUCACUUUACGCGCGCCACGAGUUCGAUUUCGACGUUAACGACAUGUAAUCGCGUCCCAUCGAGAAAUUGCAAUCACCGACGAGUAAAUAUUCGAUCGAGGAAAAACGCGAACUGUCUCGAUGUCACGAAAAAAUUCGAAUCACUGUCCACUUUCAAAUAUUAGACGGAAUAUUUCUCGUCCAUGAAUCCACACACGUGUCGAUCCUUCGAGCGAUCGUCUGUUAGAAAUAUCGAUACAUAGUCCGUAUCGAUUCCAGUUCGUUAGAGAA